This 253-nucleotide ribosomal RNA is filed under the name uncultured bacterium. RNAcentral describes it as "partial 16S ribosomal RNA". It matches the Rfam family "Bacterial small subunit ribosomal RNA", at positions 524 to 776 of the family's 1533-position model. The record is from RNAcentral.
UACGUAGGUGGCGAGCGUUGUCCGGAAUCACUGGGCGUAAAGCGCGCGCAGGCGGCGAUCUACGUCUGGGGUGAAAGCCCGGAGCUCAACUCCGGGACUGCCUUGGAUACGGGAUCGCUUGAGGAUCGGAGAGGCAAGGGGAAUUCCACGUGUAGCGGUGAAAUGCGUAGAGAUGUGGAGGAGCACCUGUGGCGAAGGCGCCUUGCUGGCCGAUUUCUGACGCUGAGGCGCGAAAGCGUGGGGAGCAAACAGG